This is a non-coding RNA of Chelonoidis abingdonii (Abingdon island giant tortoise), 1483 nucleotides long. The record is from RefSeq and is a predicted model, not a curated record. NCBI's taxonomy places the organism in Eukaryota, Metazoa, Chordata, Testudines, Testudinidae.
CACUUUCCCCCUCCCUCCAUCGCUCACUGCUUUUCCCCUCUCCCCUACUUCCUGUCCUAGUCGGGAAGGACUUGCCUGCAGAGCCGGGGCUGGGAGCUGCAGCUGCCCAAUGCAGUUAGAAGUGGCCAAAGCUGAGUAGUUGUUGGCGCAGUUGAUGACUUGGCACUUCCCCGCCUCCCCCGACUGCAGUAACCAGACUUUGGGUGUCCAGUCAGUAGAUCUGACCAGACACCAUCACGCUGUCUUUUCGACCAUUUGAAAACCAGACACACCUGGCCAACCUACUGGCAUUCAACUGGCCAAUUCUGGAAAUCUGUCUUUGCUGGUAGAGAAAGAUUGAAGAUGAAGAUGAAGCCUUUUGAAGUCUUGAAAAAACUGACUGCCAGCCUCCAUGAUUAAAAAUAGAUUGUCCUCAUCCUGAGUCCCAGGCCUCUUGUACUGUGAGUACUACAGAAGCAUAGCAAAGACAUGGAAGAAAUCUAAGAGCCUGAUUCUCUUUUCACUUACACAGGAAACCCAGGGGAAAGGACUAUAGAGGAGGAAGCACCUGCAAACAUUCUUCAGGGGAGAGGGAACGUGACCUUCAAGGAGCUAUCCUUUAUCCACCACCUCAGAAACGUUUGGGGGUGAUGGGGAGCAUCUCCAGGGCCAUAGAAAUUUCUCCACCCCUACUGAUCUUUUGUGCUGUACUGAGUCCCCCUGAACCUGCUGGGCAGCCCCCCCUCAAGUAAGGAAAGGCUUUCUUAGGCAAAGCAGUGAUAUUGCUGAAAAUCCAUUUUUUUCUUUUCUUAAAUAAAAUCCAGUAACGAUGCUUCAUGCUACUGCCUAAAAGGUUUGUGCAGUUCUCAAAGCUGGGGACUUUUUGCUUUUGUAAAUGCUGUGCUUGUGGGAAGUGCCAAAUUCACAAACUAAAGACUGUUGCCUCUGGUAAACCACAGAACAGGUAAUGCACAAUACAGGUAGAGACCAGCAGUGAAAUCUUCUCACGCUCCUGCACCAAUGUGCCUCAGCCCCAAGCUGGAGGAACUACUUUUAAUGCUGCAGGGGUAGUUCAGUCUCCAUUCAGUCAUUGGCUCUCCAGGCAAGUGUGCCAAUUAACGUUAAUUAUUGUGUUGAUUUCUGUGACUUGGGCAUCAUAGGCCAAAUUCAUAGCUGAUGUACCCCAAUCAAGUCAGUGAAUGAAUAUAGCCCCAUGUCUUUUAGGAACUGGACUGACGCCAACAACUUAUUUCACUUACUCCAUCAAACAGCCAUUAAGUUGUUUCAACCUCUACUGACGUGGUCUGAAUUCAAAACAAUAGCCUCGUGAUGAAAGGCUCAGCAUCCAAUUAUCAAUACUCUUUGCUGUAUAAUCUAAAUAAAAAUACUUAUGCUGGCCACUUUUCUCAAGUUACACUCACUACAAAGUGCAUGUGUACAUCCAUGCUUGUAAUGUAAAGAGCAAAACAAGCAGAGAAGUUGCUCGGAUUUAACGUAGCCAAUA